UGACGGGGGCCCGCACAAGCGGUGGAGCAUGUGGUUCAAUUCGACGCAACGCGAAGAACCUUACCGGGGUUUGAACUGUACGGGACAGCCCAAGAGAUUGGGUCUUCCUUCGGGACCCGUAUAGAGGUGCUGCAUGGCUGUCGUCAGCUCGUGUCGUGAGAUGUUGGGUUAAGUCCCGCAACGAGCGCAACCCUUGCCUCCUGUUGCUAACGAGUAAAGUCGAGCACUCUGGAGAGACUGCCGGUGAUAAACCGGAGGAAGGUGGGGAUGACGUCAAGUCCUCAUGGCCUUUAUGCCCCGGGCUACACACGUGCUACAAUGGCUGGUACAAAGGGUUGCAAAACCGCGAGGUGGAGCUAAUCCCAAAAAGCCAGUCCCAGUUCGGAUUGCAGUCUGCAACUCGACUGCAUGAAGUUGGAAUCGCUAGUUAAUCGCGGAUCAGCACGCCGCGGUGAAUACUUCCCCGGGCCUUGUACACACCGCCCGUCACAUCACGAAAGCCGCUGUUCUAAAA
This 514-nucleotide ribosomal RNA is filed under the name uncultured soil bacterium. RNAcentral describes it as "bacterial SSU rRNA". It matches the Rfam family "Bacterial small subunit ribosomal RNA", at positions 911 to 1424 of the family's 1533-position model. The record is from RNAcentral.